Molecule: non-coding RNA, 74 nt
Organism: Gymnothorax javanicus (giant moray)
Lineage: Eukaryota; Metazoa; Chordata; Actinopteri; Anguilliformes; Muraenidae
Source: the annotation of a GenBank genome assembly
GGCCGGUUUGUGCACUUGGUUAGAGUGUUGCGCAAAUAACGCCAAAGUUACGGGUUCGCUCCCCGUAAUGGCGA